GCAAGUAUAGUUUUAACCAAAACAUUGGGCUGUGACCCUAAAGAUAGAAGUUAGACCCUUCUUACCUGCC
RNAcentral lists this transfer RNA (70 nucleotides) under Carpodacus erythrinus (Common rosefinch). RNAcentral describes it as "tRNA-His". It matches the Rfam family "tRNA". From Rfam's summary of the family: Transfer RNA (tRNA) molecules are approximately 80 nucleotides in length. Their secondary structure includes four short double-helical elements and three loops (D, anti-codon, and T loops). Lineage: Eukaryota; Metazoa; Chordata; Aves; Passeriformes; Fringillidae. The record is from RNAcentral.